UGGGGAAUAUUGGACAAUGGGGGCAACCCUGAUCCAGCCAUGCCGCGUGAGUGAUGAAGGCCUUCGGGUUGUAAAGCUCUUUUGGCGGGGACGAUGAUGACGGUACCCGCAGAAUAAGCCCCGGCUAACUUCGUGCCAGCAGCCGCGGUAAGACGAAGGGGGCUAGCGUUGUUCGGAAUUACUGGGCGUAAAGCGAGUGUAGGCGGUUGCCGUAGUCAGGUGUGAAAGCCUUGAGCUCAACUCAAGAAAUGCACUUGAUACUGGGUGACUAGAGGACCGGAGAGGAUAGUGGAAUUCCCAGUGUAGUGGUGAAAUACGUAGAGAUUGGGAAGAACACCAGUGGCGAAGGCGGCUAUCUGGACGGUUACUGACGCUAAGACUCGAAAGCGUGGGGAGCAAACAGGAUUAGAUACCCCUGGUAGUCCACGCCGUAAACGAUGGGUGCUAGACGUUGGCGAGCUUGCUCGUCAGUGUCGCAGCUAACGCGUUAAGCA
Molecule: ribosomal RNA, 494 nt
Filed under: uncultured bacterium
Lineage: Bacteria
Description: partial 16S ribosomal RNA
Rfam family: Bacterial small subunit ribosomal RNA
Source: RNAcentral